GAUGAAGAACGUAGCGAAAUGCGAUACGUAAUGUGAAUUGCAGAUUUCAGUGAAUCAUCGAAUCUUUGAACGCACAUUGCGCCCGCUAGUAUUCUGGCGGGCAUGCCUGUUCGAGCGUCAUUUCAACCAUCAAGCCCUAGGCUUGCGUUGGAGCCCUGCGGCUGCCGCAGACUCCCAAAUCCAGUGGCGGGCUCGUCGUCGUACCGAGUGCAGUAAACAUCCUCGCUCAGGGAACGUGACGGGUUCUUGCCGUGAAACCCCCCACAUAUCAAGGUUGACCUCGGAUCAGGUAGGAAUACCCGCUGAACUUAAGCAUAUCAAUAGCGGAGGA
Molecule: unclassified non-coding RNA, 331 nt
Filed under: soil metagenome
Description: partial contains 5.8S ribosomal RNA, internal transcribed spacer 2, and large subunit ribosomal RNA
Rfam family: 5.8S ribosomal RNA (bases 1-120)
Source: RNAcentral